AUAUGUGCGACGAAUACUUAUGAUGGGAUAAUGGAAUAGGACCCUGUCCUCCUAUUUUCAGUUGGUUUUGGCAGCGCGAGGACUAGGGUAAUGAUUAAUAGGGAUAGUUGGGGGCAUUAAUAUUUAAUUGUCAGAGGUGAAAUUCUUGGAUUUAUGAAAGAUUAACUUCUGCGAAAGCAUCUGCCAAGGAUGUUUUCAUUAAUCAAGAACGAAAGUUAGGGGAUCGAAGACGAUCAGAUACCGUCGUAGUCUUAACCAUAAACGAUGCCGACCAGCGAUUAGGAGACGUUGAAUACAAAACACCACCAUCGGUGCGGUCGUCCUUGGCGUCUCGGUUUCGGCCGGGGCGCGGGGAUGGCUUAGCCCGGUGGCACCGGUGAAUGACUCCCUAGCAGCUUGUG
Molecule: ribosomal RNA, 401 nt
Filed under: Acanthamoeba genotype T4
Lineage: Eukaryota; Discosea; Longamoebia; Acanthamoebidae
Description: SSU rRNA
Rfam family: Eukaryotic small subunit ribosomal RNA (bases 1-340)
Source: RNAcentral